UACGAGAGGUCCAAACGUCAUUCGGAAUCACUGGGCUUACAGAGUUCGUAGGCGGCUCUACAAGUGAGGUGUGAAAGCCCUCGGCUCAACCGAGGAACUGCGCUUCAAACUGUAAAGCUAGAGGAAGAUAGAGGUGAGCGGAACUGAUGGUGGAGCGGUGAAAUGCGUUGAUAUCAUCAGGAACACCGGAGGCGAAGGCGGCUCACUGGGUCUUUUCUGACGCUGAGGAACGAAAGCUAGGGGAGCAAACGGG
This 253-nucleotide ribosomal RNA is filed under the name uncultured bacterium. RNAcentral describes it as "partial 16S ribosomal RNA". It matches the Rfam family "Bacterial small subunit ribosomal RNA", at positions 524 to 776 of the family's 1533-position model. The record is from RNAcentral.